This 442-nucleotide ribosomal RNA is filed under the name uncultured bacterium. RNAcentral describes it as "partial 16S ribosomal RNA". It matches the Rfam family "Bacterial small subunit ribosomal RNA", at positions 355 to 787 of the family's 1533-position model. The record is from RNAcentral.
UGGGGAAUUUUGGACAAUGGGGGCAACCCUGAUCCAGCAAUGCCGCGUGUGUGAAGAAGGCCUUCGGGUUGUAAAGCACUUUUGUCCGGAAAGAAAACGUCGUGGUUAAUACCCGUGGCGGCUGACGGUACCGGAAGAAUAAGCACCGGCUAACUACGUGCCAGCAGCCGCGGUAAUACGUAGGGUGCAAGCGUUAAUCGGAAUUACUGGGCGUAAAGCGUGCGCAGGCGGUCCGCUAAGACAGAUGUGAAAUCCCCGGGCUUAACCUGGGAACUGCAUUUGUGACUGGCGGGCUAGAGUAUGGCAGAGGGGGGUUANAAUUCCACGUGUAGCAGUGAAAUGCGUGAGAUGUGGAGGAAUACCGAUGGCGAAGGCAGCCCCCUGGGCCAAUACUGACGCUCAUGCACGAAAGCGUGGGGGAGCAAACAGGAUUCAGAUACCC